Pelobates cultripes (western spadefoot toad) is the source of this 586-nucleotide non-coding RNA. Lineage: Eukaryota; Metazoa; Chordata; Amphibia; Anura; Pelobatidae. The record is from the annotation of a GenBank genome assembly.
CUCUGGUGAGAUCCUGGUAAAAGGUGAGAGUAGAAUCCUCAAAUGAUAGAGGUGUCUUGCCUUUCAGGGCACUCAUUAUUUGGAUUUUGUCCUGUACUUUGAUGCAGCAAAGUAUAACGUCUUGGACCAUGUUUGGCUUUGAGUGGAUAGUGCUGGAAACAUGGUAGAGUCUGCCAAUAGCUAGUUUCCUUGCUACAGCAUGGGUCAGUAUGGUGGCCAGAAGACAUCUGGUAUAGUGUGGCAGCUCUUCCUCCAUCAUAGUAGCGGGGAUGCCACAAAUUUUGAUGUGAGUGUGGCUUAGGAGGUCUUCCAUGGCCGUGAAUAUGUCUCUGGAGUUGUUGCACUAAGUCACUUUAGUAUGUAUGUCUGCAAUGUCCUCCUCCGAGGCUCUUACCCGAUCCAUGAUGGCAUGCACUUUAGUUUUAAGAAGAGUGGAAUUAGCCACUAGUAGCUUGUGGAUGUCCGUUAGCAAGACUUUCAGGUCACAUCUGGUGGUAGGAGCUGAAUCAUCUUAGGGUUCAGAAGCUGGGCGAUGUGGAGCAUGAGAGUUUAGCAAUGUCUUCCGCAGGAUCUGAGUUGUGCUGAG